Molecule: unclassified non-coding RNA, 206 nt
Filed under: plant metagenome
Description: partial contains small subunit ribosomal RNA and internal transcribed spacer 1
Rfam family: Eukaryotic small subunit ribosomal RNA (bases 1-46)
Source: RNAcentral
AAGUCGUAACAAGGUCUCCGUAGGUGAACCUGCGGAGGGAUCAUUGAAGAGUUAGGGCCUCCGGCCCGGACCUCCAAACCCUUUUCGUACUCGAUACCAUGGUUGCCUCGGGGGUCGGACCCUGCCGUCCGCGGUCUGGGGCCCUCCGGUGGACCGACUCAACCUGCAUCUUUGCGUCUGAGUAAAUUUGUAAAGUUAAUCAAAAG